CUGACGGAGCACGCCGCGUGAGUGAUGAAGGUUUUCGGAUCGUAAAGCUCUGUUGUUAGGGAAGAACAAGUGCAAGAGUAACUGCUUGCACCUUGACGGUACCUAACCAGAAAGCCACGGCUAACUACGUGCCAGCAGCCGCGGUAAUACGUAGGUGGCAAGCGUUGUCCGGAAUUAUUGGGCGUAAAGGGCUCGCAGGCGGUUUCUUAAGUCUGAUGUGAAAGCCCCCGGCUCAACCGGGGAGGGUCAUUGGAAACUGGGAAACUUGAGUGCAGAAGAGGAGAGUGGAAUUCCACGUGUAGCGGUGAAAUGCGUAGAGAUGUGGAGGAACACCAGUGGCGAAGGCGACUCUCUGGUCUGUAACUGACGCUGAGGAGCGAAAGCGUGGGGAGCGAACAGGAUUAGAUACCCUGGUAGUCCACGCCGUAAACGAUGAGUGCUAAGUGUUAGGGGGUUUCCGCCCCUUAGUGCUGCAGCUAACGCAUUAAGCACUCCGCCUGGGGAGUACGGUCGCAAGACUGAAACUCAAAGGAAUUGACGGGGGCCCGCACAAGCGGUGGAGCAUGUGGUUUAAUUCGAAGCAACGCGAAGAACCUUACCAGGUCUUGACAUCCUCUGACAACCCUAGAGAUAGGGCUUUCCCUUCGGGGACAGAGUGACAGGUGGUGCAUGGUUGUCGUCAGCUCGUGUCGUGAGAUGUUGGGUUAAGUCCCGCAACGAGCGCAACCCUUGAUCUUAGUUGCCAGCAUUCAGUUGGGCACUCUAAGGUGACUGCCGGUGACAAACCGGAGGAAGGUGGGGAUGACGUCAAAUCAUCAUGCCCCUUAUGACCUGGGCUACACACGUGCUACAAUGGACAGAAC
RNAcentral lists this ribosomal RNA (863 nucleotides) under Bacillus pumilus. RNAcentral's name for it is "bacterial SSU rRNA". It matches the Rfam family "Bacterial small subunit ribosomal RNA", at positions 383 to 1240 of the family's 1533-position model. Lineage: Bacteria; Bacillati; Bacillota; Bacilli; Caryophanales; Bacillaceae. The record is from RNAcentral.